UCUUCGGAGGGAAGUGAAGGGAAUGAGCGGCGGACGGGUGAGUAACACGUAAGGAACCUGCCCCAAGGAUUGGGAUAACUCCGAGAAAUCGGAGCUAAUACCGAAUAGUUCUUCAGACCGCAUGGUCUGAUGAUGAAAGGCGCUCCGGCGUCACCUUGGGAUGGCCUUGCGGUGCAUUAGCUAGUUGGUGGGGUAACGGCCCACCAAGGCGACGAUGCAUAGCCGACCUGAGAGGGUGAUCGGCCACACUGGGACUGAGACACGGCCCAGACUCCUACGGGAGGCAGCAGUAGGGAAUCUUCCACAAUGGACGAAAGUCUGAUGGAGCAACGCCGCGUGAGUGAUGAAGGUUUUCGGAUCGUAAAACUCUGUUGUAAGGGAAGAACAAGUACGAGAGGAAAUGCUCGUACCUUGACGGUACCUUGCGAGAAAGCCACGGCUAACUACGUGCCAGCAGCCGCGGUAAUACGUAGGUGGCAAGCGUUGUCCGGAAUUAUUGGGCGUAAAGCGCGCGCAGGCGGCCUUUUAAGUCUGAUGUGAAAGCCCCCGGCUCAACCGGGGAGGGUCAUUGGAAACUGGAAGGCUUGAGUACAGAAGAGAAGAGUGGAAUUCCAUGUGUAGCGGUGAAAUGCGUAGAGAUGUGGAGGAACACCAGUGGCGAAGGCGACUCUUUGGUCUGUAACUGACGCU
Molecule: ribosomal RNA, 690 nt
Filed under: Exiguobacterium artemiae
Lineage: Bacteria; Bacillati; Bacillota; Bacilli; Caryophanales
Description: bacterial SSU rRNA
Rfam family: Bacterial small subunit ribosomal RNA
Source: RNAcentral